UUGUAGUGAGGGCUUCGCGUUAGCGCGAC
Molecule: small RNA, 29 nt
Filed under: Bombyx mori (domestic silkworm)
Lineage: Eukaryota; Metazoa; Arthropoda; Insecta; Lepidoptera; Bombycidae
Description: ovarian small RNA-38081
Source: RNAcentral